UGGGUUGUGGCUCAGUGGUAGAGCACUCACCUAGCAUGUGCAAGGCCCUGGGUUCUAUCCUCAGCACCACAU
RNAcentral lists this transfer RNA (72 nucleotides) under Marmota marmota marmota (Alpine marmot). It matches the Rfam family "tRNA". Rfam says of the family: Transfer RNA (tRNA) molecules are approximately 80 nucleotides in length. Their secondary structure includes four short double-helical elements and three loops (D, anti-codon, and T loops). Further hydrogen bonds mediate the characteristic L-shaped molecular structure. tRNAs have two regions of fundamental functional importance: the anti-codon, which is responsible for specific mRNA codon recognition, and the 3' end, to which the tRNAs corresponding amino acid is attached (by aminoacyl-tRNA synthetases). tRNAs cope with the degeneracy of the genetic code in two manners: having more than one tRNA (with a specific anti-codon) for a particular amino acid; and 'wobble' base-pairing, i.e. permitting non-standard base-pairing at the 3rd anti-codon position. Lineage: Eukaryota; Metazoa; Chordata; Mammalia; Rodentia; Sciuridae. The record is from Rfam by way of RNAcentral. RNAcentral also lists the same sequence under 2 other names.